AUGCACGCUGGCGGCGUGCCUAAUACAUGCCAGUCGAGCGAACAGAUAAGGAGCUUGCUCCUUUGACGUUAGCGGCGGACGGGUGAGUAACACGUGGGUAACCUACCUAUAAGACUGGAAUAACUCCGGGAAACCGGGGCUAAUGCCGGAUAACAUUUAGAACCGCAUGGUUCUAAAGUGAAAGAUGGUUUUGCUAUCACUUAUAGAUGGACCCGCGCCGUAUUAGCUAGUUGGUAAGGUAACGGCUUACCAAGGCAACGAUACGUAGCCGACCUGAGAGGGUGAUCGGCCACACUGGAACUGAGACACGGUCCAGACUCCUACGGGAGGCAGCAGUAGGGAAUCUUCCGCAAUGGGCGAAAGCCUGACGGAGCAACGCCGCGUGAGUGAUGAAGGUCUUCGGAUCGUAAAACUCUGUUAUUAGGGAAGAACAAAUGUGUAAGUAACUGUGCACGUCUUGACGGUACCUAAUCAGAAAGCCACGGCUAACUACGUG
This 496-nucleotide ribosomal RNA is filed under the name uncultured bacterium. RNAcentral's name for it is "partial 16S ribosomal RNA". It matches the Rfam family "Bacterial small subunit ribosomal RNA", at positions 29 to 507 of the family's 1533-position model. The record is from RNAcentral.